GACGAACGCUGGCGGCGUGCUUAACACAUGCAAGUCGAACGGUGAAGCGCCUUCCUUUUUGGUGGGUGUGGAUGAGUGGCGAACGGGUGAGUAACACGUGAGUAACCUGCCCCCUUCUUCUGGAUAACCGCAUGAAAGUGUGGCUAAUACGGGAUAUUCUGGGUCUGUCGCAUGAUGGGUCUGGGAAAGAUAUUGAUUCGGUGGGGGAUGGGCUCGCGGCCUAUCAGCUUGUUGGUGGGGUGAUGGCCUACCAAGGCGGUGACGGGUAGCCGGCCUGAGAGGGUGGACGGUCACACUGGGACUGAGACACGGCCCAGACUCCUACGGGAGGCAGCAGUGGGGAAUAUUGCACAAUGGGCGCAAGCCUGAUGCAGCGACGCCGCGUGAGGGAUGGAGGCCUUCGGGUUGUGAACCUCUUUCGCCAGUGAAGCAGGCCUGCCUCGUUUGUGGGUGGGUUGACGGUAGCUGGAUAAGAAGCGCCGGCUAACUACGUG
RNAcentral lists this ribosomal RNA (494 nucleotides) under uncultured bacterium. RNAcentral's name for it is "partial 16S ribosomal RNA". It matches the Rfam family "Bacterial small subunit ribosomal RNA", at positions 28 to 507 of the family's 1533-position model. The record is from RNAcentral.